UACGUAGGGUGCGAGCGUUUAAUCGGAAUUACUGGGCGUAAAGCGUGCGCAGGCGGUUCGUUAAGUUCGAUGUGAAAGCCCCGGGCUCAACCUGGGAAUUGCAUUCGAGACUGCAUUGCUGGAGUACGGAAGAGGAAGGCGGAAUUCCCGGUGUAGCGGUGAAAUGCGUAGAUAUCGGGAGGAACAUCAGUGGCGAAGGCGGCCUUCUGGUCCAGUACUGACACUCAAGUGCGAAAGCGUGGGGAGCAAACAGG
This 254-nucleotide ribosomal RNA is filed under the name uncultured bacterium. RNAcentral describes it as "partial 16S ribosomal RNA". It matches the Rfam family "Bacterial small subunit ribosomal RNA", at positions 524 to 776 of the family's 1533-position model. The record is from RNAcentral.